This 379-nucleotide ribosomal RNA is filed under the name uncultured Bacteroides sp. Its description in RNAcentral is "bacterial SSU rRNA". It matches the Rfam family "Bacterial small subunit ribosomal RNA", at positions 355 to 731 of the family's 1533-position model. Lineage: Bacteria; Pseudomonadati; Bacteroidota; Bacteroidia; Bacteroidales; Bacteroidaceae. The record is from RNAcentral.
UGAGGAAUAUUGGUCAAUGGGCGGAAGCCUGAACCAGCCAUGCCGCGUGAAGGAAGAAGGUCCUAUGGAUUUUAAACUUCUUUUGUCGGAGAGCAAUAAGGGUCUCGUGAGAUCCGAUGAGAGUAUCCGACGAAUAAGCAUCGGCUAACUCCGUGCCAGCAGCCGCGGUAAUACGGGGGAUGCGAGCGUUAUCCGGAUUUAUUGGGUUUAAAGGGUGCGUAGGCGGUCCGGUAAGUCAGCCGUGAAAAGCCCCCGCUCAACGGGGGUCGUGCGUUUGAUACUGUUGGACUGGAAUGCGGAUGCCGUGGGAGGAAUGUGUGGUGUAGCGGUGAAAUGCUUAGAUAUCACGAAGAACUCCGAUUGCGAAGGCAGCUCACGU